GACAGAGGGUGCAAACGUUGUUCGGAUUUACUGGGCGUAAAGCGCGUGUAGGCGGCUUUGCAAGUCGGAUGUGAAAUCCCACGGCUCAACUGUGGAAGUGCAUCCGAAACUGCAUCGCUGGAGUCUCGGAGAGGAAGGUGGAAUGCUUGGUGUAGAGGUGAAAUUCGUAGAUAUCAAGCAGAACACCUGCGGCGAAGGCGGCCUUCUGGACGAUGACUGACGCUGAGACGCGAAAGCGUGGGGAGCAAACAGG
RNAcentral lists this ribosomal RNA (253 nucleotides) under uncultured bacterium. Its description in RNAcentral is "partial 16S ribosomal RNA". It matches the Rfam family "Bacterial small subunit ribosomal RNA", at positions 524 to 776 of the family's 1533-position model. The record is from RNAcentral.